GUUCAUUAACUAGAUGGAGGGAAUCCUUUUACAAUGUACAUGAAAUCACCAUAUGUAUACUUGAAAUAUCUUACAUUUUGGCAAUUAUACUUCAAUAAGGUUGAAAUUUUAAAAAAAAGUUGGGCGUAAAAACCACCUAUUCAUAUUUUGGUUAUGAUAUUUUUGCACUACCAUAUUCUGCCACUAUCCUUUUGCCAUUUACUAAAUCAAACUGGUAGCCUUGUUGAUUUUCUAUUUAACUUGUUCUUAUUUCUAGGAGCAAUUUUCACAUAGAUUCGCAUAUACACAUUUCUUAAAACAUACAUAAUUAAUGUUAGAAAAAAUGUAUUUAAGGUGGAUUAUGUUGGCUACCAAGGAGGUACUGUAAGAGGAGACAGACUCUGCCAUCUUCCAUUAAGCCAACCCAUUAUUUGACAUCUUAGUAACCUAUUUGGUCUCUG
Molecule: long non-coding RNA, 440 nt
Organism: Herpailurus yagouaroundi (jaguarundi)
Lineage: Eukaryota; Metazoa; Chordata; Mammalia; Carnivora; Felidae
Exons: 3
Source: RefSeq, a predicted model, not a curated record